UGCCAGCAGCCGCGGUAAUACGGAGGGAGCGAGCGUUAAUCGGAAUUACUGGGCGUAAAGCGCGCGUAGGCGGCUUUGUCAGUCGGAUGUGAAAGCCCUCGGCUCAACCGGGGAAUUGCAUUCGAUACUGGCGGACUCGAGGAUGGUUGGGGUGAGUGGAACUCCUGGUGUAGAGGUGAAAUUCGUAGAUAUCAGGAGGAACACCGAUGGCGAAGGCGGCUUUCUGGACCGAUACUGACGCUGAGACGCGAAAGCGUGGGGAGCAAACAGGAUUAGAUA
This 279-nucleotide ribosomal RNA is filed under the name uncultured bacterium. RNAcentral describes it as "partial 16S ribosomal RNA". It matches the Rfam family "Bacterial small subunit ribosomal RNA", at positions 506 to 784 of the family's 1533-position model. The record is from RNAcentral.